CCUACGGGUGGCAGCAGUGAGGAAUAUUGGUCAAUGGGCGGGAGCCUGAACCAGCCAAGCCGCGUGAGGGAAGAAGGUACAGCGUAUCGUAAACCUCUUUUGUCAGGGAACAAAGGCGGGGACUAGUCCCCGGAUGAGGGUACCUGAAGAAAAAGCAUCGGCUAACUCCGUGCCAGCAGCCGCGGUAAUACGGAGGAUGCGGGCGUUAUCCGGAUUUAUUGGGUUUAAAGGGUGCGCAGGGGGCCUGUUAAGUCAGCGGGAAAAGCCCGGGGCUCAACCCCGGCGAGCCGUUGAAACUGGCGGGCUGGAGUUGGAGAGAGGUACGCGGAAUGCGCGGUGUAGCGGUGAAAUGCUUAGAGAUCGCGCAGAACCCCGAUUGCGAAGGCAGCGUACCGGCUCCACACUGACGCUGAGGCACGAAAGCGUGGGUAUCGAACAGGAUUAGAUACCCCAGUAGUC
RNAcentral lists this ribosomal RNA (459 nucleotides) under uncultured bacterium. RNAcentral's name for it is "partial 16S ribosomal RNA". It matches the Rfam family "Bacterial small subunit ribosomal RNA", at positions 338 to 795 of the family's 1533-position model. The record is from RNAcentral.